RNAcentral lists this non-coding RNA (21 nucleotides) under Caenorhabditis elegans. The record is from RNAcentral. Lineage: Eukaryota; Metazoa; Nematoda; Chromadorea; Rhabditida; Rhabditidae.
UAAAACGCAAAAAUUGUCCGA